RNAcentral lists this ribosomal RNA (584 nucleotides) under Lysinibacillus fusiformis. RNAcentral describes it as "bacterial SSU rRNA". It matches the Rfam family "Bacterial small subunit ribosomal RNA", at positions 173 to 747 of the family's 1533-position model. The record is from RNAcentral. Lineage: Bacteria; Bacillati; Bacillota; Bacilli; Caryophanales; Bacillaceae.
UCUGUUUCACCUCAUGGUGAAACACUGAAAGACGGUUUCGGCUGUCGCUAUAGGAUGGGCCCGCGGCGCAUUAGCUAGUUGGUGAGGUAACGGCUCACCAAGGCGACGAUGCGUAGCCGACCUGAGAGGGUGAUCGGCCACACUGGGACUGAGACACGGCCCAGACUCCUACGGGAGGCAGCAGUAGGGAAUCUUCCACAAUGGGCGAAAGCCUGAUGGAGCAACGCCGCGUGAGUGAAGAAGGAUUUCGGUUCGUAAAACUCUGUUGUAAGGGAAGAACAAGUACAGUAGUAACUGGCUGUACCUUGACGGUACCUUAUUAGAAAGCCACGGCUAACUACGUGCCAGCAGCCGCGGUAAUACGUAGGUGGCAAGCGUUGUCCGGAAUUAUUGGGCGUAAAGCGCGCGCAGGUGGUUUCUUAAGUCUGAUGUGAAAGCCCACGGCUCAACCGUGGAGGGUCAUUGGAAACUGGGAGACUUGAGUGCAGAAGAGGAUAGUGGAAUUCCAAGUGUAGCGGUGAAAUGCGUAGAGAUUUGGAGGAACACCAGUGGCGAAGGCGACUAUCUGGUCUGUAACUGACACU